This 253-nucleotide ribosomal RNA is filed under the name uncultured bacterium. Its description in RNAcentral is "partial 16S ribosomal RNA". It matches the Rfam family "Bacterial small subunit ribosomal RNA", at positions 524 to 776 of the family's 1533-position model. The record is from RNAcentral.
UACGGGGGGGGCAAGCGUUGUUCGGAAUCAUUGGGCGUAAAGGGCGCGUAGGCGGUGCGGUAAGUCUGGUGUGAAAUCCCCGAGCUUAACUCGGGAUCCGCGCCAGAGACUGCCGUGCUAGAGUGUGGGAGAGGAGAGUGGAAUUCCCGGUGUAGCGGUGAAAUGCGUGGAUAUCGGGAGGAACACCCGUGGCGAAAGCGGCGCACUGGACCACAUCUGACGCUGAGGCGCGAAAGCUAGGGGAGCAAACAGG